UUUUUUUUGUUAUCAUUUGAUAUCGGAGUCGAGCAUAGAAUCGUUCUAACGAUUCUAAUCUUGGGUUUUUUGUCAAAAUAAAAUAAAAUAAAAAUAUAAAAUUAUCAAAAUAAAUAAAUAAAUUGUUUUUGAUUUUGUGUUUUGUUUGAGUUUUAGAUACUAAAAAUCGUGUUGUCUAGUAUUUAUUGUGUCAAGAUCUGGGAUUUGAGCUUGAUUGGAGUUGAUUUGAGGAUUCCACCGUUGUUGGGUCCUUGAAGCUUGAAGAAGAAGAAGUGAAUUCUUAGAUCCCGAGUAAAUUGGAUAUUUAUUUGUAUUGGGGUUUGUUCUCCUAAUCAUUUGAAUCUUGGAGCUAGGUGUGUGCAUCGAUCAGUUCGUUUUGAUUUUAUGUAUUACUGAUUCGAUUUAUCGAUUUUUGAUUUUAUAAUAUACUAAAUCAAUAACCAUAUCAAUAAGAUAUUUUUAUCAAUUUUUGAUUUAUCAGUAUUUAACCUUAGCGUUUUGAUUUCAGUUUAACCAAUAAAAAAAUACUCAUAAAGUAGAAAUAAUAGCAACUAACAUGAAAAUAAAAUGAAUCUUUGUUGCAGUUAAAAUCCUACAUGAUGCAUUUUAAUUUAUUAGAAUCUCCAAGCUUGAAUUGGUUUUCUAGAAAUUGAAUAAGUUUGUAGAAAUUAAAGAGAAAUAUAUAAUAAGCAUUAUGUCUUAUAUAAGUAGAGGAAAAGUAAUAGUUUAAUAUAUACUUAUUAGGUUACUCAUUUACCCAAUAACCCAAUCAGAUAAAAUGAAAAUCGGACUAAUAAACCAAUAAAAAUUAGGGAAAGGACGAAAAAACCAUUCGAUUAACACAAUUGACAAUCAAAUCGCCAUUGAAUUCAAUUCCUAAACUGUAGCCUUUCCAUGUGUUGUUUGUUGCUGCUUAGCCUUUUUUUUUUACUUUAAAUCUUCCUCUGCUAUCUUUUUCUUUGAAUUGUAACUAUUGCAUUUCUUCUUCUUUUCUUUUCACUAGUUGUUCUUUUGCUUUUCUUUUUGUUGGUUUUUUUUUUUUUUUAAAUACUCUUAUAAUAAAAAGAAAAAAGAAUAUGUAAGUGUAUAUUUGAUAGCAGAUAUAUGUAUCUAGAUAAUUGUAUCUUCUUCUAAUGUAUUGAUGCAGCCUUCAUACGUAUUGAUACAAUACACUAGAUAUCUGAUACACAUACUGCACAUAUACAUAUUUUAUACAACAAUGAUACAACUUCCAUACGCAUCAUAACAAGAAUUAUAUUAUUUCUAUACACAUCCUUUACAAGUUUUAGCUGCAAUGAUUAUUCAUAUAAAUAUUCUAUACAAUAAUGGUACAAUUUUUAUAAGCAUCAUAUACAGAUACAUAUUUUCUACAACAAUUAUAUAAUUUUUAUACACAUCCUUUAUCGUUUCUUUAUAUAUAUAGUGUACGGAUACAUAUUUUACACAAUAACUAUACGGUUUCUAUACACUUCUCCUCUUUCUCGCUCUCUCUAUAAGUGUCUGAUGUACAGAUAUAUAUUUUAUACAAUAAUUAUAUAAUUUUUAUACACAUCCUAUAUAGUUUCUACAUAUAUCUUAUAUAUAUAAUUAUUUUAUACAAUAACUAUAUAGUUUUUAUAAUUGUAUUUAACUAUUUUUUAUUUAAAAAAGCAAAGUUUAAGUUAAAAAUUGUAGCAAAAAAACCGCUGAAACAUUUAAGAAGAAGAGUCAAAUGACCCAAAUUUGAAAUGACAGAAAAUGGCUAUUUUUAGGAGUAGUAUGGACAUUAAAUGUCAAUUGGCUCACACAUGGGCCAUUUCUUUUGAGGAGGUGGGCCACCUGGUGUCUUUUCACUUAUUUUUUUUUUAAAAUUACUAAAAAAUGAUUAACUCAAUAACCCAAUAUCAAUAAACUAAUAACAUUUUUAUUGAUUCAAUUUGUUGAUCAGUUUGAUUUUUGUACCGCGCUACAUGAAUCUAAAAUUUGGUCUAAAACGGAAUAUAAAUCUAUUGGGUUAAAUUUUGGGUGUUCUUUAUGUUCUUGGUGUUCUUUAUGACUUGAAAAAAAUUAUAAAUUGACUUUGAAAUAUGAAAAAUUUAAUCUUGAAAUUGAAUGUUAAAAUGCAUUGGAGAUUAUUUCCCAUGACGAAGGGAGCUUAGAUCUCGAAUUUUAUCGAGUUUCGAGUUAAAAUGAAGAAGUUGUGAUUUUUGGCAGCUCAUAGUGUUCUUCAGAUUCUUCAUGUCUUGAAGAAGAAGAAUAUUCAAAAAAGAUGAAUUUGAUUCAAAAAGGGAAAGUAAAAAGAAGGUCUACUUUUUUUGCUAAAGAAAUACUUGUUGCGUCCUAGCGCACACGCACGUGUAUGUGGUCACCCAAGUAGUAAAGUGGCCCUUUCGAGCCGAAUAUCAAUCCCACUGGGACUUAGUGGUUAAGAACUAUCAAAUUUAAGCAUUACUAAUUAGAUUGAAUAAGCACAAGUGUAAUUAAUUAAGCAAUUGAGUUUGAUUAUUAUAAACUAAAUAGCAAAAGGUAAUAAUGGUAUGUAGUUUGGAUUGUAAACAAUUUGAAGAGAGUUUCAGAGUUGAGACGCUUACUUCACAUUCAUGCAUAACUAUGGUUUCUAGCCGGUGUUGGUGUUUAUCGUGAUUAUUAGUUGACGGGGUUGAUAUAUUUUGAGAGUGGUCAUCCUUCAAGUCAUCUAUCCAAAUUAAUCUCACAACUACAUCGUUGAGCGGGGAUGUGAGUCUUUAACUUGGAUGCAUUAAACCAUCUUCCCAUUUCGUUAAUCAAGUUGGACGUUUUAGGUAUAUCUCUAUCCUAAACACAAAUCAUCCUCUAAAAAUUAGUAUUUAAUCAUUAAAAAAAUGAUCCACACUUCUUACAUUCUUCAUUCCAUUCCUCUACUCCUAUGGUCAAUUCCUUUUAGGACUUAGAUUUAUUCUAAAGUUCAUGGCGCUUUAGAAUAGUAAAAUAAGAAUGGAAGAACAAUCACAUACUUGAUAAACAUAUAAACAAACUAUAAAUCACCAUACAUAAUAAUGAUUUUAGCUUCAACCCUAUAUUGAUGGUGUUUAGCCACUCAUUGUCAUACAAAGAAUCACCAUAGAUGAGUUCAUAAAGCAAAACUACAAGAAAGUAAAGUUUAAGAACAAAGAACCCUAGUAUGAGCUCCUUGGUGCCUUGUCUUCUCUCUAAUUCGUGUAUUGAUCCAAAGAUGAGAUUAUAUUGUGACUAAGUGACCCUUUUGUAGUGUUUUAGGUCAUCGAUAUUUAUCCCAAUAGGAACUAUAUACAUUGACAACAUUGCCCAUCACUUAAGAAGAUGAAAAAUCACUUUUGGCCGUUUUUCAUCCUUGGGCGUGGCAUGCCUUUAUCACAUAUGUCCAAGGGCGUUUCACGCCAUUAACAUGGAUGAAAACUAUUUUUGACAUGUUAUUUUGUGUCUUAUAUCAUGGCACACCCUUAUCUCAAAGGUUUGAGGGCGUGGCACGCCCUUGUGCUCAGAAACACCAUUUUUCGUAGUAGUUUACUCCUUCAAUUUGCCUUGAAGUUCUGCACUUUAUGACUGGAUUUCCCACUUCAUUUUUAGUCUUGUUUAGAUUCUCAACAUUUCUUUUAACAUCAUUCAUGGUCUCCUAUAACAUCAAACAAGACGAACUAGUGCAUACAACACAACAGAGUCCGCCGAGAUACACUAGCACAACACACAACUCAAGCUAGUAACACUAGUUUUCUUGUCUAAACUCUAUGUGACCAAUUUAAUUAUUAACUUGUUUUGAACACACCUUAAACACUAUGAAGUAUAGUUUAACACAUAAAUGCUCAAUUAUAACAUAAACAACUCAUUAUACACAUAAGAAAUCCUUAAAACUAGGAUAAACAAAUAAAUAAUGACACUUAGGUGCAUAAAUACACCUAAGACCACCACCUCACACUUAAAGCCUUGUUCGUCCUCGAACAACUAUUUACAUUAAGUACUAUCCAAGGAAGACUCCAACAUUACUACUAUAGGAAAUAAACUUGAGAUAGCACUACAAUGACUACAUGAUUAGCAAGUUCCACACCAAGCAUGCCUUAUUAAAAUUGAAACUCAUGAACAUCACUCUGAAAUAUCUUAACCUUAAGAAUUGACUCUACCAAGUUGGAAAACUCAUGCAUAUUACUCAAUAAUAGAGAUCAUACAAUUCACCUAACUAUCAUUAAACAUGCACCCUCACCAAAAUAUAGUUACCCAUAUUUACUCAUAGAUAUGCAUGCCACCACAAGAAUGGGUUUAAGAAUCAAUUUCACUCACUUUCACAAAGAAUUCUCAUGUCACAUAAGAUGAACCAUAACCUUUCCCUUAGUGUAGUACUCCACUAAUAUCAAAAUGUUAGGGAUAAAGAUCAAAUACGACUUUAAAGGUUGCAAUGUAGGAUAAGGGAUGGAUAAGAACUAUUCUAGCUAGUAAUAAUGACUAUCUUUUCUAAGUGCUUUAAUACAUCAUAUUAUGCAUUGAACUCCUCUCUAAACAACCAAUUUCUCACCACUUUUAUCUUUCCACUUCACUCUUGAUUUGCCCUAUCUCUUUAAGCUAUGUAUGGAGGGAGUAUUUUUAAUUAACUCAUGAUUAAAUUUUGAUCUUUUCAUUACACCCCUCCCAACCACAUUACAUUAAAAUUUUCAUACUAAUAAUUACUAUUUUUUUGGGGCUUCACUUUUUUCUCUUUCCUUCAUAAGUGUUACACUCCUUAACCAUGCUAUUUUUUUUUAACUAAAACUCUUUGGAGCUCUGGAUCAAAUUACAGUCAAUUAAAGAAAGGGAAUAGGCUACAUAUGAGGCUACCAAAGAAUAAGCUAAAUGUUCAACAGGUCUAGCAAAGAUCAUACAAUAAGGGUAGAUAAAGAGGUAGAAAACAUGACUAUCAAAGAAAUUCCUAUAUCAUCUCCUAAAUCCAUAAUUUUAUUUCACUUUGCACACACACUAGACUAAUUCUCGACCUAAAUAUGCAAUAAGAGAUGCAAGAAAAGACCUCACUCACAUAAGGCUCAUGCUCAAAUUAAGUUGGAUCCCUAUAGACUCUAAACUAAAAAAUAACAAGAAUUUAAAAUUAAGCCAACAACACAUAAGAAUCAUAUAAAUAAGCUUAGGUGUAUAAAAAUGUAACACCUCGAGACUAACCCCUGGAUGUCACACAGUGCUUAUGACCACAAGUAAUCCCAAGCUAACUCUUAUACUGGCAUAAAUCGUGAGCAACUAAAUAAGAUACAUUAAUCAGAAAGAAAUAUGCUGAAGAGAAGUCUUUACUAAGUAGGUUCUAUACAAAACUGUGUAAAAUGAUUUCAACUCUGGUUAUACAAAACAAAACUGAAAUCAAAUACAUCAACUCUACUGGCUGUCUAUGAAGCCUCUACUAAUACUGACUAUAGGUAGCUGGGACAUGACCCCCAGCUAUCCUUGAUCAAUACUACUGAAUAAAGAAAAAAAAUCCUACUCGAACUAUAAUUGACUCGAGCCCUCGAAUCAAAAGGGCUCAUCACCUGCUAACUGAAAGUUGCAUACUGUAUGAUUAUGAUGUGUGGGCUGCAACUAGUACCUAUAUUAUGAGACAAUAUAGCAAUAGACAUAUAUGUGGAUCAAUACUUCUGGAAUGUACUGAGUAUAUGAGGGUGAAUGCAUAAGUAAAACAAUAGCUGAAUAUUUAUAUAAACUUUUAAAUAAUUCAUGCUAAGUAUAAAUGACUCACCUUGGGCUUCAAUAAAAUAAAAGCUGUAAAAUCAUAAACAUGAGUAAUGAAGCAUAAGUAUAAACUUUGUGAGCGAUAACACUUAGUUUGAAAAACUUUUCUUUUGUUUUUUCUUAUUGAGGUUCUUCUAACCGACAUAAACCAUGUGAGCUAUCAUGGAGUCCAACGUCUUACUCACGUUGGGGAGAGUUGUCCUACCCUUGCCAUCGAAAUAGGACCUUAACUAAAGUGAUCACUAUCUCUAUACUAGGAAUAAGCUUAACCUACGUUGGAUUGUAGUUCUGGGGCAUAUGACCUUGGACAUAUACCCAACUCGGUGCUAAAUACUACUCCCUUAUUACUUAAUGCUCAUACUUUAGGAAAUCCACCUUAAAAUAGCUUAAGGGUUUAUAAUGAAAACCAGUUAUGCUUUUCUUUGCUUUAAAUUAUAAUCAAGAUAAAAAAAUGUGGAUUCCAUCUUUUAGCUGAAGAUCAAAAGAUCAAGUCUUGCUUUAAAUCUUAAAAUAAGCUUGUCAUAGAAUGCUUAAAAGCAUAAUCUUCUUGAUAUCUCAACACCUAAACUUAGGGCUUACAAUUUAUGCUUUAAACUCAUGGUAAUUCAUACCAAAACUUCAUGCUCAAUAUAAUUCUUGAAAUACUUCAACAAUAACAAGUCAAGAUAGUGAAAUCUUAUUCAUAAUAUAAAUCUUAUAAGUUGAAACAUAAAUGUAAGCACUUCUUGAUAUACUUAAAACUUUAAAUAUCAUGAUAAUAACAUGCUUCAAGAAUAUAGAAACUUGGGUAUGAACCCUACUUUAAAACAAGUAAAUAGAAAUCUUAAAAUCAUGCAAUUUGAGCACAAAGGCAAAAUGAUACCAUUGUUCAUAACCCCACAUACCUUAAUUAAAGGAAUUCUUGAAGAAAUCUUGAAAUUGACACUUGAAUUUCUUGGGGAAGUAAGCUUGAAUUUAUUGAUCUUGAAAAGAGAGACUUGAAUUUUUGGUGAGAAACCCUAAUCUUGAUGUUCUUGAUAUUCUUGAAUUUGAGUCUUGAGACUUGGGAAAUGCUCUUGCAAAAAACCCUAGAUGGUUGUUCUUGAGUACGGGAGAGGAAAUAACGUGUUAUGUGUUUAAGAAUUAGGAAAAAUACACUUAAUAGAGGAUUUUAAGUCGUGGGGGUUGGGUUUGAGGUGAGGAAAAGACCAAAAUACCUUUUCGAAGCUGAAUAAGAAUUGUUGAAUUUUUCUUUAGUUGAUGACUUGGUCGAUUUCUUAUCAACUUGGUUUAUUGACUAUCAGCCUAGUCAUCAACUCCCUUUCAUGUUCUUAUUAUGGGUGAUGACAGGACUGAUGGCUUAUCAACUUGUUGAUAGCCUAUCAACCUAGUCAUCAACUCCUUCAGAGUUAUCGCCUAAAGUUGACAACUUUGGCUGAUGGUCGUCAACUUGGUUGAUAACCUACCAGCUUAGUCGUUACGUUCUUCAAAGAUUUUGCCUAAGGUUGAUGACUUGACUGAUGGUUCAUCAACUUGUGCAUAGCCUAUCAGCCUAGUCGUCACCUUGAUGACAGAUGGAUAUGCUGAGGUAAAGUGGGCAUAACUUUUCACUCCGAUGUCGGAUUAAGGUGAAACCAGAUACAUUGAAAAGACAACUGAAAUAACUUUGAUAUAUAGUAGGACACGUGAAUCAAUAUAUUCUAGGAUAUGCACUCAUCUAAAGUAGACCUUAGCUGGAGAAUUUGUCAAAAUUCUAUCGUUAGAAAAGUCCUCAACUCGUCUUUGAGUUAGGAGGGUAUUAUGACCUCUACUAAUAUAUAAAGAUAUUCCCACAUCAUAUAUUUUAUAAUCAUACAUGUAUAUACAUGGAAUAAUUGGGUUCAAGUCUGUACGCAUAGGAACAACGAUUUAAUUCUAGCCCAAAAAUAUGAAGUGUUACAUUAUCUCUUCUAUGGGAAAAUUCAUCCUCGAUUGAGACUGGUUAGCUGAGAAUACUGGGAGAACUGAGAUCAUAUAUUGAGCAUGCUUGACUGGAAACAUGAUUAUAUGACUGAGUCCGAAACAUGAUACAUGGCUGAAUUAAUUUCAUGAAUACAUGUAAUAAUAUGAGAAUGGUUAUAAGGCUGAGAUAAAAACGAGAGAGUCAACUUAUAAGUACCCAUUACUUCAAGCUGUAUCUUAUUUUGUGAAGAAAAGUUGAGAGAUUUAGUACAUGAAAACUUGGGGGCAUUACAACAUCUCUCCCUUGGGAUAGUCCAUCCCUCGAAUGAUACUGACUUGGAUGAAAUACUAAGGAAAGACUGAGAUGAUGUAAGGGACACGUACGGACUGAAUCAUGAUUGAAUAUCUGGAAUCUAAAACUGAUGCCUGCUGCACGAAAUAAUCUGAAUUUGCAAAUUACCAGGAUGUAAACAUUUNNN
Molecule: long non-coding RNA, 8093 nt
Filed under: Capsicum annuum
Lineage: Eukaryota; Viridiplantae; Streptophyta; Magnoliopsida; Solanales; Solanaceae
Description: long non-coding RNA (CANN_LNC017043)
Source: RNAcentral